GCAUAUCAAUAAGCGGAGGAAAAGAAACCAACAGGGAUUGCCUCAGUAACGGCGAGUGAAGCGGCAACAGCUCAAAUUUGAAAUCUGGCCUUCUGGUCCGAAUUGUAAUUUGUAGAGGAAGCUUUUGGUGAGGUACCUUCCGAGUUCCUUGGAACAGGACGCCUUAGAGGGUGAGAGCCCCGUACGGUUGGAUGCCAAUCCUUUGUAUAGCUCCUUCGACGAGUCGAGUAGUUUGGGAAUGCUGCUCUAAAUGGGAGGUAAAUUUCUUCUAAAGCUAAAUACCGGCCAGAGACCGAUAGCGCACAAGUAGAGUGAUCGAAAGAUGAAAAGCACUUUGAAAAGAGGGUUAAAUAGUACGUGAAAUUGUUGAAAGGGAAGGGUUUAUGACCAGACCUUUGCCUUGCGAAUCAUCCGGUGUUCUCACCGGUGCACUUCGCUUGGUUUAGGCCAGCAUCGAUUCUGGCAGGGGGAUAAAGACUUUGGGAAUGUGACUCUUCGGAGUGUUAUAGCCCAUUGUGUAAUACCCUUACUGGGAUCGAGGACCGCGCUUUGCAAGGAUGCUGGCAUAAUGGUCAUCAACCACCCGUCUUGAAACACGGACCAAGGAGUCGAACAUUUAUGCGAGUGUUUGGGUGUUAAACCCUCACGCGUAAUGAAAGUGAACGGAGGUGAGAGCCUUAGGGUGCAUCAUCGACCGAUCCUGAUGUCUUCGGAUGGAUUUGAGUAAGAGCAUAACUGUUCGGACCCGAAAGAUGGUGAACUAUGCGUGGAUAGGGUGAAGCCAGAGGAAACUCUGGUGGAGGCUCGCAGCGGUUCUGACGUGCAAAUCGAUCGUCAAAUCUGCGCAUGGGGGCGAAAGACUAAUCGAACCAUCUAGUAGCUGGUUACCGCCGA
Molecule: ribosomal RNA, 894 nt
Filed under: Selenodriella fertilis
Lineage: Eukaryota; Fungi; Ascomycota; Sordariomycetes; Xylariales; Microdochiaceae
Description: partial 28S ribosomal RNA
Rfam family: Eukaryotic large subunit ribosomal RNA
Source: RNAcentral